GCCUGCGUAGCUCAGCGGUAGAGCGGCUCCACUUGCGGGUGGUCAGGGGUUCAAAUCCCCUCGCAGGCA
Molecule: transfer RNA, 69 nt
Filed under: Streptomyces viridochromogenes
Lineage: Bacteria; Bacillati; Actinomycetota; Actinomycetes; Kitasatosporales; Streptomycetaceae
Description: tRNA-Lys
Rfam family: tRNA
About the family: Transfer RNA (tRNA) molecules are approximately 80 nucleotides in length. Their secondary structure includes four short double-helical elements and three loops (D, anti-codon, and T loops).
Source: RNAcentral